CACUAGGAGGGCGGGCGCCGCGGCGGUGGCGGCGGCAGCGGCGGCGGCGGUGAGGGCUGUGGCCGCGGGAAGUGAAUGGUUUUACCCAGAGGGCCCUGCGCCGCUUUUCUCCGCUGGCGCCGGCGCUGCUCCCUGCUCCUCCCCGGCCAUGGCGUUCACGUUCGCGGCCUUCUGUUACAUGCUGGCGCUGCUGCUUACUGCAGCGCUCAUCUUCUUCGCCAUUUGGCACAUUAUAGCAUUUGAUGAGCUGAAGACUGAUUACAAGAAUCCUAUAGACCAGUGUAAUACCCUGAAUCCUCUUGUCCUUCCAGAGUACCUCAUCCAUGCUUUCUUCUGUGUCAUGUUUCUUUGUGCUGCAGAGUGGCUUACCUUGGGUCUCAAUAUGCCCCUCUUGGCAUAUCAUAUUUGGAGGUAUAUGAGUAGACCAGUGAUGAGUGGACCAGGACUCUAUGACCCUACAACCAUCAUGAAUGCAGAUAUUCUAGCUUAUUGUCAGAAAGAAGGAUGGUGCAAAUUAGCUUUUUAUCUUCUAGCAUUUUUUUACUACCUAUAUGGCAUGAUCUAUGUUUUGGUGAGCUCUUAGAACAACACUCAGAAGAAUUGGUCCAGUUAAGUGCAUGCAAAAAGCCACCAAAUGAAGGGAUUCUAUCCAGCAAGAUCCUGUUUCCAAGAGUAGCCUAUGGAAUCUGAUCAGUUACUUUAAAAAAUGACUCCUUAUUUUUUAAAUGUUUCCACAUUUUUUGCUUGUGGAAAGACUGUUUUCAUAUGUUAUACUCGGAUAAAGAAUUUAAAUGGAAUUACAUAUAAAUUAAUAUAAAAUGAUACCUCUGGUGUGGACAGGUUUGAACUUGCACUCCUUAAGGAACAGCCAUAAUCCCUUGAAUGAUUGCAUUAAUUAUUGACUGUCUUUAGUCCAUUGGAAGCUUUUGUUUUUAGGAACUUAUAGGGCUCAUUUUGGUUUUACUGAAAUGCCAUUUAAUUAUAAAUUAGCUGUAGAUAUCAGGUGCUUCUGAUGAACUGAAAAUAUAUAUCUGACCUGUGGGAAACUUCGGGUUUCCGCAUCUAUCAUGUAGGUGAUUAUAUAUGGAUAAAUUAAAAAAAAAAUGAGUGGGGUUUUUUCCCCCUUAGACUUGAAAUAUUAUUCCUAUAUUGCAUGAAUGAGAGAUUUCCAUAUUUCCACCAGAGUAAUAUACUUGCUUUAAUUCUUAAGCAUAAUUGAACAAGAUACAAAAAUAUAUGCUGACUUACUUGUGAAGAAUGCAUUUAAAGCUUUUUAAAUGUGUUUUAAUUUGUGAGACAUUACUUAUUAAGAAGUUGGUAAUAACUACACAUAAUUGUUCUAAUCUGGUGGUAAAGGUAUUCUUAAGAAUUUGCAAGUACUUUAGAUUUUCAAAACUGAAUGAGAGAGAACAUUGUAUAACCGUCCUGCUGUUCCUUUAGUGCAAUACAAUAAAACUCUGAAAUUAAGACUUAUUUUCAGUGCAUUGUUUUAAAGAUUACAAAUAGCUAUUUCUUAAACUUGCUUAUUCCAAAUAAAGACAUCACUGUCAGUUUUUUAAAAAGAUAAUAGAGUGUUACAUUGUGGGUUUAUUUUUGUUUUUAAAUACCAUGCUUGGAUCUGAGAAGGGUGAUUUUUUUUUUUUUUUAAAUGGUUAAGUACAUCCCACCCUCUUGUCACUUGGCAAAAUUCAUAAACACUAAUGACACAGCAUCUUCAUUUUUCUUACCACUUUAAAAAAUUAUUGUGAAACUUAAAAUGUUUAAAAUAUUUUUUUUCCUUUUUGAAACAGCAGGUUUUAAGGUUAAAUGACUUAAAAUUUGUUGCUUUUUUUUUUUUUUGCUGCUGCUAAGGCAGGUACAUGAUGGCUUGCAUGUUUUCGUAAGCAUUCUUGUGCUUUAUUUAGAAUGAGGAAGUUGAGGCAAUUGACAACAGUGUAAGUAGUUCAAAGUUUCUUAAAAGAUCAAAGAAAGAAAACUACUGUAUAUACAAAUUUCACAUAAUGAUCAAGGGAGUUUAUGGAUGUGUUUAUGGAAGUCUUACACCAAGUACCCCUUGAAUUAGAUGUUUUAUUCUCUACUAGUGAAAAAAUGCUUUCCACCUUUGGGGGAGUGGCUGUUACUGAUAGGGUAAUGGAGGUGAACAUGUUGAAGGAGGAGGUAGAACCAGAGGAGUGAGGGUAGGUAGUCAAACGUUUCAUGAGAGAAGCUUGAAAGCCCCUGUAUUUUGUGGUCUGGAGGAGACCUGGAAGGAUCUGACUGUUCAUCAGUUCAUGCAGCAUAUUGUUUAUUGAGCCCUUGCUAGCACUGAGGACUCACAGUCUGAGUAUAAGCAAACAUUUAGUUUCUUUUCCACCCACUUGUACUAGUGUUGCACCCCUCUUCUUGUUCACAAGUACUUUGAUCAUGAGAGACCUGGCUAAGCCUUCUAGGCUUCAGAUAGGUUUUGUGGGGCAGCUGUUUCUUCAUUCCUGUCAAAGUAUUUUCAUGAGCUCCUGCUGUCUUCUGAGUUUUAACAAACAUCCCUUUAUUCUCCAGGAUUAAUAAUGCCAGGUGUACUGGUUGGAAUUUGUGGAAGCACCUUUCUCAUGCUUCAGAAAUUAGAUAUGUAGUUGUUAGCUGAUUCCUCAGAGGUGACUGACAGUGAGAUUCACCCACCUCAGUGGUAGGUUGUUAGUUCCUAGGCAUGUAAGUGAUUAGAAGAUUGGGUACCCGGAUGCUGUCCUAAUACCUACUUAUCUUUACCUUUGCCAGUGUUUUAUGAAAUUAAGUCACUUAGAAGAGAAAGCAGAAACAUAAUAUUUGUAUUUGACAGUAAGCAGCUGGCUCUUUUCCUUGCUCUGAAUUUGAUUUGUUCCUCCUGUUAAUAUGGUUUAGGUGGUCCUAGCCCUGUUUCUCUUAGUCCUGUAUGCCCAGCUGAAACAUAGCCUGGGUCUGUAAUCCUUUCCAAUUUAGCCAGACUGCACCCUGGGCAGCCACAGUUGUUUAUUUAGGAAUUGUUUUUUCCCUUGUUAAAAUUACUUUUGCUAUACUGUGUUUUGAUUGAUCUUUAAGAGCUUUCCAACACUCUGAAACCAUUAGUGUAGCAUGAUGUGGUUUAUACCUGUAUCAGCAACUCCUUGUUGCUGUUGGUACUACAGAUUCUCCUACAUUAAAGUCUUGAUAACAAGUGUAGUCUAUUUAGUAUCUCUUCUAUUAAGUAAUAAUAGUGUAUCAUGGCAGUAUAUCCCAGUAGUGCUAAGGAGGUAUAGGGGUAGAAACUUUCCUGAAUGCCCAAAUCUGGAUUUUAUUAAUAACGUCUGAUGAUUUUCGCAAUAUUUAACUGAUACUUCCCACUCCCUAUCCCAGAGUAAAGGAGAGUUUAAAAUUUUUUUUGUUGUUGUCUUUUAGCCUUUUUCUAGGGCCGCUCCCGCAGCAUAUGGAGCUUCCCAGGCUAGGGGUCCAAUCAAAGCUGUAGACGCCGGCCUAUGUCAGAGCCACAGCGCCGCAUCUGAGACCUACACCACAGCUCACGGCAACACCGGAUCCCUAACCCCCUGAGCAAGGCCAGGGAUCGAACCUGCAACCUCAUGGUUCCUAGUCGGGUUCAUUAACCACUGCGCCACGAGGGGAACUCCAAUGUUUAAAAUAUUUUUUAAACAUGGAGCUUUGCUUUGCUCUGCAGAUCAACAGUGUGUAUUUUGAAAAUUUGUCACAUAAUUGCAUAGGAAAGAAAUAGAGAUGUAGAUACAUUUUGAAACUAGCAAAUCACUUUCCUUGGUAUAACACUUCUCUUUUCCCCCAUAUUAUAUAUUUAUGAACAGUAUUCAUGGAUUAUUAUUGCCACAGUACUAAGAAUGGCUUCUGUGGAUUUCUUAUACCUUGCAGGGGAGUGGGCUUUCAUCUUAGGCGUGGUUACAUUCUAGCAGUGUGAUAUGUCAAGCCCAUGAAAAUAACCUGUAUUCAAAAGUAUACAUCCAAUUUACUUAUAUCAUGUAACACUCCAAAUGUGCAUCUUUCAGUUGUACAGUAUAAUUGUAAGAAGAUUUGACAGCUAAAAUAUUUUAAAACAGCUCUUUCAAAGGGGAAAGAUAAAAAUAUCAGUACCUUGUCCAACAUUGUUCCUGAAAGUAUCCAUAUUCAUCCUUUGAGGAAGCUAUCAACAAUGUUAAUCUCAAAUAAUUUAAGCUCUUUUGCUGAAAUCAGGCAUUGAUCUCUGGUCAGACCAGCAGCUGAUGAGUCUGGCACUAGUGUUACAGCUUAGCAGAUGGUUCUGAACUAAUAUUCCGGGGUGGUGCCAAGGGAGAAAAUGGAGUUCUGUUUCUGGAUAUGUCCAGUAGCUUUCUUAGAACAGUUUUACUUUGAUUAAAAUUAAGUUUUAAAGUUAAAUGUCUACAAGGAGUAAACAACUCUGCUGCUUGUUCUGCUUGAUUUUGGCAAAUAGUAUUAACCACGUAUGGUGUUGUGUGGGAUUUGAGUGAAGGUUUUACCUUACUUCAGUCUUACUAAUGAACAUGGUGGGAGAUGAAGAGAACACCUAGACAUGGAAAAGACUAAGUUAAUUUUUAGAGUACAAUGCUUUUCCUAAGUAUAAUAAACAUUUGGUUACUAUGUUUGUGUAUUCUGGGGAGGAAAAAUUUGAAUAAUGAUGACUAGGUAGACCUUAAAACUACUAAGGGAGACACAGAAUAUAGUUAGCUGUCUAUGCUCAUGUUUUGUUAAUCUAAGUUAACCUUAAUGGUGCUGUACCACCGUCCAAAGACAAUGCCCUUAUGUUGUCCUCCCUUCUUAGAGACUGCUUGCUUUAUUUUGCUUUUGUAUAUUUAAUAAAAACUGUCUCAAAUGUU
Sus scrofa (pig) is the source of this 4823-nucleotide non-coding RNA. The record is from RefSeq and is a predicted model, not a curated record. NCBI's taxonomy places the organism in Eukaryota, Metazoa, Chordata, Mammalia, Artiodactyla, Suidae.